Molecule: ribosomal RNA, 440 nt
Filed under: uncultured bacterium
Lineage: Bacteria
Description: partial 16S ribosomal RNA
Rfam family: Bacterial small subunit ribosomal RNA
Source: RNAcentral
CCUACGGGGGGCAGCAGUGGGGAAUAUUGCACAAUGGGGGAAACCCUGAUCCAGCGACGCCGCGUGAGUGAAGAAGUAUUUCGGUACGUAAAGCUCUAUCAGCAGGGAAGAAAAUGACGGUACCUGACUAAGAAGCCCCGGCUAACUACGUGCCAGCAGCCGCGGUAAUACGUAGGGAGCAAGCGUUAUCCGGAUUUACUGGGUGUAAAGGGAGCGUAGACGGCAGCGCAAGUCUGGGGUGAAAUCCCAUGGCUUAACCAUGGAACUGCUUUGGAAACUGUACAGCGAGAGUGCAGGAGAGGUAAGCGGAAUUCCUAGUGUAGCGGUGAAAUGCGUAGAUAUUAGGAGGAACACCAGUGGCGAAGGCGGCUUACUGGACUGUAACUGACGUUGAGGCUCGAAAGCGUGGGGAGCAAACAGGAUUAGAUACCCCUGUAGUC